Molecule: long non-coding RNA, 817 nt
Organism: Anolis carolinensis (green anole)
Lineage: Eukaryota; Metazoa; Chordata; Lepidosauria; Squamata; Anolidae
Exons: 3
Source: RefSeq, a predicted model, not a curated record
AGCGGUAGGACUAGGACACUGUGGUGGCCUAGUGGCUAGCAUGGCUAAUGUACCAGCUGUGAAUAACCUCUUUUUUUUCUUAUCCCAUCCACCCAACAGAUGUCUCUCUGUCAUUGUCAUGUCCUCAAGCUAUCCUGGCACAAGUGGGUGGCUCUGGUGCUGUGAACAAAGGCGAGGAAUGAAGAGUUUACUGCUCAUUCGUAGUGACAUAACAAAUGCAGUUGCUAUAAUUUUAAAACAGAGGCAUUUUUAAAGAUGCUGAAAGACAUACGAAGAGGAUGGGACCUUGAGGCACCCCAUUAACCAACUGUGGAAUUGAUUUCACCUGACCAUUAGUGGGCAUAAUUAUAACACCAGUUUAUAAUUCUUAGCUCAACGUUGACAACUGGUUCAGAAGAAUACCAUGGUCACUGACAAUGAAACGUCUCAGAAGGCCAAAUAACUGAUAAAGUUUCAUAACCUAAGUUGUACACUUACCAAGGGUGUUUCCUUCCCCAAACUAGGCAUAAAACCAAAUAAAAAUAAUGUAGACAGCUAUUCUAGCAGUGAUGGUUUGUUUAAAAAUAAACAUAUGAAACAAGCAGAAACAAAAUUUGCUGAAAUUUAAGGACAUUGCUCAGAUUGCAGAUCCCUUAUUGCUCUGAUAAUUUGGAAAGUUUGCACAAUUUUCCAGCUAUCCAGAUGCAUUUUUAACCCUUGACCAAUAAAUAAACAACUUUCUGAGAUGUUCUGACUAACAAUGACAUUGUUUUUAGUGACUUUUUCUGGAGAGUAUAAUGAGUGGCAAAAUAUUAAUAAAAAUCCAUAAAUGGCUUUA